UGGGGAAUAUUGGACAAUGGGGGAAACCCUGAUCCAGCGAUGCCGCGUGUGUGAAGAAGGCCUGCGGGUUGUAAAGCACUUUAGAUGGGGAGGAGAGGUGUCAGUUGAAUAGGCUGAUACUGAGACGUUACCCAAAGAAUAAGCACCGGCAAACUCUGUGCCAGCAGCCGCGGUAAUACAGAGGGUGCGAGCGUUAAUCGGAGUUACUGGGCGUAAAGGGCACGUAGGCGGUUGAAUAAGUCAGUUGUGAAAGUCCUGGGCUUAACCUGGGGACGGCAAAUGAAACUGUUUGACUGGAGUCGAAGAGAGGGGGGCGGAAUUUCCGGUGUAGCGGUGAAAUGCGUAGAUAUCGGAAGGAACACCUGUGGCGAAGGCGGCCCUCUGGCUUCAGACUGACGCUGAGGUGCGAAAGCGUGGGUAGCGAACAGGAUUAGAUACCCGUGUAGUCC
This 449-nucleotide ribosomal RNA is filed under the name uncultured bacterium. RNAcentral describes it as "bacterial SSU rRNA". It matches the Rfam family "Bacterial small subunit ribosomal RNA", at positions 355 to 796 of the family's 1533-position model. The record is from RNAcentral.